CAGUAGAGUUUACUGAGAAACUACUUUGAAACUCUAUUAGUAAUUUUCUUAAUUUUUGCUGUUGUUCUUGAUCAAUGUUUUUGCAAGAAUUUUCAAACACAGACUUCAAAUGUUCAGGAAAUUUUUCAUUUGUUUUCUUUUCAUGUUUUGUCAAAACAUUUAUUGAUUGGGGAGUAUUUUCAACAAUCCCUGAAGUAACUUCUAAAUUUGCCACCACUGUCCCUUUGAAAAUUUUGACACUCUGAUCACCUAAGUUCAUGUAUCGAACAGGUACUUUAUCAGUUUCAACUUUUGCCAAAAUCUUGGGAACUAAUACAUCAUGUUUAUCCAAAAAUUUUGCCACAGGCUCUAACAAAGUAACCUUGUCAUUAAAUAAUGGGUUUUCUACUUUAGCCGGGGCAAUAAAUUCACUGAGAGGGGGAAUUUCUAUAGUUUCCGUCAGAAAUACUUUACAACAAUGCUCAUUCAAAGCUUCAUUUGUAAAGCAAGAAACAUCUACCCCCUUUAUUCUAAGCUUCAUUUUGUUCAACAGAACGUCACAGUUGUGUUCUUUCAUGAAAUCUAAACCCAAAAUACAUUCGUUUUGGAUAUUAGCCACUAACACAUUUUGAUUCACCGUAACAUCUCCCACACAUAUUUUCACUAGGCAUUCCCCUAGUACAGAUAUUUUCUCCCCACUAGCGGAUGUUAAAUGUACAAAUGAAGGGUUCAAAUCUAAUUUCCCCUUUAACUCUGAACUGUCUGCAAAAUCUGAGCUAAUAAUUGUUACACUAGCUCCUGUGUCGACCAUCAUUGUAGUUCGAAUGUUCUCAAUUUUGCCUACAACAAAAAUUCCUUCACCACGCCCCCUUACAUCACCUACUCUUUCAUUUUUAGGUGGAUUUUCAAACUUGAUAAUUUUCUCAACAUCAUUUUCAGAUAUAUUGUUCUCAACAUCAUUUUCUGAUUUAUUGUUCAUUAAAUUGUCAUUUUUAGUUACAUUAACUGUAUUUUGAGGACUCUUUUUAAUACACUCAUUUCUUCCAGCAGGAAGAGGUCCUCUUAUAUCAUCCUUGCUUAACAGUGAUUGGGGCCUACCCCUGUGCUUUGUCGACUUCUGCCCCCUGAAUUCGACACGGGAAAGUUUCCCUGAUUUGAGGAUUGAAAGCGACCAUUCUGAGAUUGUCUAUUUGGCCUUGUCAGAGCCUGAUUUCUGUGUUGGAGAAGAGGUACCGGACCGUUGAUACACAUCACAAGUGAUGUAAUCAUUCAGAUCGCAGGACCUGCACCCAUUCUCCUCAGAGGCUUCAAAUUGGCUGUUUUCAUUUGACAUUUUGACUUUUGUUAUUGGCUAUUGCAACACAAAUUUAUGUGUUUAUAUGUCAAUGUGCUUGUCGUUGUCAAUAGACUUAACAAGACUUAUAAGUCAAUAUUUUUAGAUCCUGAUGUAGACUUUCGAUCAACCAGAAUAAAAGGAAGACUUUAUCCCACUUCUGACACCAAUUGUUACGACUUACAGCUUUAUGUUUAGCGGCGUAACAUUGUGGGGCUCCUUAAUCUGAAUGUUGAACGAAAGACAACAGGAUAUAAUUUGUUUUUAAUAUUUUAUUAGAUUUUAUUCAAUAAACAUACAAAAAUA
Saccostrea echinata is the source of this 1618-nucleotide long non-coding RNA. RefSeq lists it as uncharacterized. The transcript is spliced from 2 exons. NCBI's taxonomy places the organism in Eukaryota, Metazoa, Mollusca, Bivalvia, Ostreida, Ostreidae. The record is from RefSeq and is a predicted model, not a curated record.